CGAGGUGGAAGAGGUUGUGUUGGGACUGGUUCUGAUUGAUUAGGUUCCUCAGAUUCUUAAGCACGUUGCUCUUGGGAGACAUUCUCCUUGAGCUUAACUAUUCUUCCGAUGCCACCAUCUUGAAUAAACUAUUUUUCAAGAAAAAUAGCAUUUCGACUCACAAUCACAUUGUGGUCUUCCGGAAUAUAGAAAUAGUAUCCUAAUGACUCUUUAGGAUAUCCUAU
Molecule: long non-coding RNA, 224 nt
Filed under: Elaeis guineensis (African oil palm)
Lineage: Eukaryota; Viridiplantae; Streptophyta; Magnoliopsida; Arecales; Arecaceae
Description: long non-coding RNA (EGUI_LNC077579)
Source: RNAcentral